AUUGAACGCUGGCGGCAUGCCUUACACAUGCAAGUCGAACGGCAGCGGGGGAGAAGCUUGCUUUUCCUGCCGGCGAGUGGCGAACGGGUGAGUAAUACAUCGGAACGUGCCCUGUAGUGGGGGAUGACUAGUCGAAAGAUUAGCUAAUACCGCAUACGACCUGAGGGUGAAAGUGGGGGACCACAAGGCCUCAUGCUAUAGGAGCGGCCGAUGUCUGAUUAGCUAGUUGGUGGGGUAAAGGCCUACCAAGGCGACGAUCAGUAGCUGGUCUGGGAGGACGGUCAGCCACACUGGGACUGAGACACGGCCCAGACUCCUACGGGAGGCAGCAGUGGGGAAUUUUGGACAAUGGGCGAAAGCCUGAUCCAGCAAUGCCGCGUGUGUGAAGAAGGCCUUCGGGUUGUAAGGCACUUUUGUCCGGAAAGAAAUGGCUCUGGUUAAUACCUGGGGUCGAUGACGGUACCGGAAGAAUAAGGACCGGCUAACUACGUGCCAGCCGCCGCCGUAA
This 508-nucleotide ribosomal RNA is filed under the name uncultured bacterium. Its description in RNAcentral is "partial 16S ribosomal RNA". It matches the Rfam family "Bacterial small subunit ribosomal RNA", at positions 30 to 523 of the family's 1533-position model. The record is from RNAcentral.